GAACUUUACAAGAGAAUGAGUUCUGACUGUCCAUGGAUAUAGAGCUUAACAUCCAAGUCCAAGUGAUCAAGUAUUCCGCUAUCUCGAGGGGUGGUAAAUUGCCAUAUGCAAUUGAUCGGGAAUGCAAUGGAUUAUGGUGGGCAUCGUGAAAAUGGAAGACACAAAAAAUGGAUUGCUUCGUCUCUACCGGAAAUGGGUUUCCACAUCUCAGCUUGUCGCAACUAUACUUUCCCCGUGCUAUGGCAGGUGCCAAUUCUCUUCAAAUUUGUUCAUCAUGAACAUCUUCAUUUUUAAAGAAAUCUACAUCUUUAACAUUUAUGUGUUUUUGCAGGAUUUCAGGAAGAUAUUUGUAGAAAAUGAUUCCGUAGUAGAAAAGGCAUUUAAUUUUUAGUAGUAUAAUCAUUAUUUUUUAUGAAUAUUUUGGUGAACAUUUUUUGUUUGUGAUGUAAUGGAUGGAUGGAAUAUUUUCCGACUUUGAAUUUUAUGAAUAUUUCCCGUUUUCUAA
This is a long non-coding RNA of Mercurialis annua (annual mercury), 505 nucleotides long. RefSeq lists it as uncharacterized. The record is from RefSeq and is a predicted model, not a curated record. The transcript is spliced from 3 exons. Lineage: Eukaryota; Viridiplantae; Streptophyta; Magnoliopsida; Malpighiales; Euphorbiaceae.